This is a non-coding RNA of Oryza glumipatula, 139 nucleotides long. Lineage: Eukaryota; Viridiplantae; Streptophyta; Magnoliopsida; Poales; Poaceae. The record is from Rfam.
CCUUUAGAUGAAGAAGAUCUAGUUGCUUAUAUUUUAAACUGGUUAGAUGAAGAUUUUGAACCUGUUGUAUCCGCUAUUGUGGCACGAAAUGAGUCGGUCACAUUAGGGGAAGUCUACUCUCAACUUCUUAAUUUUGGGA